AAAGGGAAUAGAUACUGUGUGUCUGGAGAUUUCUAGGGGUUAGUAGAAUUUCCGGUGGAGCGGUGAAAUGCGUUGAUAUCGGAAGGAAUGACAAAAGCGAAAGCAGCUAACUAUAGAAAAUCUGACGGUCAGAGACGAAAGCUUGGGUAUCAAACGGGAUUAGAUACCCCGGUAGUCCAAGCUGUAAAUUAUGCAUGCUAGGUGUUUUGUUCCGAUUUUCGGGAUGGAGUGCUGUAAUCUAACGAGUUAAGCAUGCCGCCUGGGUAGUAUAUUCGCAAGAAUGAAACUCAAAGGGAUAGGCGGGGGAACACACAAGCAGUGGAUUGUCUCGAUUAAUUGGAUAAUAAGCCAAGAAUCUUACCUAAACUUGACAUGUACUGUGUCCUAUAUGAAAGUAUAGUAAUUCUGCUUUGCAGAAUACGGUAUACAGGUGGUGCAUGGUCGUCGUCAGCUCGUGCCGCAAGGUGUCCAGUUAAGUCUGGGAACGAGCGCAACCCUCAUCUUUAGUUAGAAUGUCUAAAGAGACUGCCUGGGUAACCAGGAGGAAGGAGAGGAUGACGUCAGAUCAUCAUGCCCCUUACGUUUAGGGCUUCAUAGACAAUACAAUGGGUAGUACAACGAGAAGCAAUACCGUGAGGUGGAGCAAAUCUUUAAAGCUAUCCUUAGUUCGGAUUGUAGUCUGGAAUUCGACUACAUGAAGUUGGAAUUGCUAGUAAUGGCGGGUCAGCUACACCGCCGUGAAUAUGUCCCUGUUCCUUGCACUCACCGCCCGUCAAACCAUGGGAGUUGAGGUUCUCUGAAGAUGU
RNAcentral lists this ribosomal RNA (806 nucleotides) under uncultured organism. Its description in RNAcentral is "bacterial SSU rRNA". It matches the Rfam family "Bacterial small subunit ribosomal RNA", at positions 619 to 1430 of the family's 1533-position model. The record is from RNAcentral.